UUACGGCCACAUCACGUUGAAACAUUGGUUCCCGUACUAUCACCUAAGUUAAGCAAUAUCGAGCCUGGUCAGUACCUAGAUGGGUGACCGCUGGGGAAUAACAGGUACUGUAAG
Acanthosepion pharaonis is the source of this 114-nucleotide non-coding RNA. The record is from the annotation of a GenBank genome assembly. NCBI's taxonomy places the organism in Eukaryota, Metazoa, Mollusca, Cephalopoda, Sepiida, Sepiidae.